GCACUGCUGAGGAGUCCCAUAAUAGGACGAAACGGCCGUCCAGUGN
Non-coding RNA from Schistosoma rodhaini, 46 nucleotides. The record is from Rfam. NCBI's taxonomy places the organism in Eukaryota, Metazoa, Platyhelminthes, Trematoda, Strigeidida, Schistosomatidae.